AAUUUCUGACUUAACAUGACUAGUCCGACAAGAUUUCUUGUCGUGAGCUUUUCACGUUUGUCAUCCUUCUGGAAAUUGAAAUUGCGCUUUACUGUGUUGAUUUCAUGAUCCAGAUCUUUUACUUUGAAAAAAUUAGAGUGUUUAAAGCAGGCUUUUGCUAUGAAUACAUUAGCAUGGAAUAAUAAUUUAGGACUUUGGUUCUAUUUUGUUGGUUUCUAGGACUGAAGUAAUGAUUGAUAGGGAUAGUUGGGGGUGCUAGUAUUCCGCGGCCAGAGGUGAAAUUCUUGGAUUCGCGGAAGACUAACUACUGCGAAAGCAUU
Molecule: ribosomal RNA, 320 nt
Filed under: uncultured Clathrulinidae
Lineage: Eukaryota; Cercozoa; Clathrulinidae
Description: SSU rRNA
Rfam family: Eukaryotic small subunit ribosomal RNA
Source: RNAcentral